UCGGAUGAAGUUAGAUUUGGGCAGGCAUGCCCCUAACUUCCGGCGCCUAAUAAAGCACCUUCUUAUAAUCACUUUGUGGAUUAUGUGUCUUCAUGAAUGCUAACAUUUUGGUGACCCA
Cygnus olor (mute swan) is the source of this 118-nucleotide long non-coding RNA. RefSeq lists it as uncharacterized. The record is from RefSeq and is a predicted model, not a curated record. NCBI's taxonomy places the organism in Eukaryota, Metazoa, Chordata, Aves, Anseriformes, Anatidae. The transcript has 3 exons.